GAUGAAGAACGCAGCGAAAUGCGAUAAGUAAUGCGAAUUGCAGAAUUCAGUGAGUCAUCGAAUCUUUGAACGCACAUUGCGCCCUGUGGUAUUCCGCAGGGCAUGCCUGUUCGUGCGUCAUUUCAACCCUCAAGCUCUGCUUGGUGUUGGGCCCUGCCCGCUGCGGCCGGCCCUAAAGACAGUGGCGGUGCCGCCUGGCCCUGAGCGUAGUACAUCUCUCGCUCCAGUGCCCGGUGGUAGCCUGCCAGAACCCCAACUCUCGUGGUUGACCUCGGAUCAGGUAGGGAUACCCGCUGAACUUAAGCAUAUCAAUAAGCGGAGGA
RNAcentral lists this unclassified non-coding RNA (323 nucleotides) under soil metagenome. RNAcentral's name for it is "partial contains 5.8S ribosomal RNA, internal transcribed spacer 2, and large subunit ribosomal RNA". The stretch from base 1 to 120 matches the Rfam family "5.8S ribosomal RNA", at positions 35 to 154 of the family's 154-position model. The record is from RNAcentral.